ACUGGGUUUGAUCUGAGGACACGUUUACACGUAGCCGGGAUUCACAAUAACAGAUCUACACUUUCUAAAAUAACAUCGUUCACACCAGA
Molecule: long non-coding RNA, 89 nt
Organism: Stegastes partitus (bicolor damselfish)
Lineage: Eukaryota; Metazoa; Chordata; Actinopteri; Pomacentridae
Exons: 3
Source: RefSeq, a predicted model, not a curated record